UACGAAGGGGGCUAGCGUUGCUCGGAAUCACUGGGCGUAAAGGGUGCGUAGGCGGGUCUUUAAGUCAGGGGUGAAAUCCUGGAGCUCAACUCCAGAACUGCCUUUGAUACUGAAGAUCUUGAGUUCGGGAGAGGUGAGUGGAACUGCGAGUGUAGAGGUGAAAUUCGUAGAUAUUCGCAAGAACACCAGUGGCGAAGGCGAGUCCCUGGACGACUCCUGACACUGAGGCACGAAAGCUAGGGGAGCAAACAGG
Molecule: ribosomal RNA, 253 nt
Filed under: uncultured bacterium
Lineage: Bacteria
Description: partial 16S ribosomal RNA
Rfam family: Bacterial small subunit ribosomal RNA
Source: RNAcentral